GAUGAACGCUGGCGGCGUGCCUAAUACAUGCAAGUCGAGCGAACAGAUCAGGAUCUUGCUCCUCUCACGUUAGCGGAGGACGGGUGUGUAACACGUGUAUAACCUACCUAUAAGACUGGUAUAACUUCGGGAAACCGGAGCUAAUACCAGAGAAUCUCUUGAACCGCAUGGUUCAAUGGUGAAAGUCGGUUGUUCUGUCACUUCUAGAUGGAUCCGCGCCGCAUUAGCUAGUCGGUAAGGUAACGGCCUACCAAGGCAACGAUGCGUAGCCGACCUGAGAGGGUGAUCGCCCGCACGGGAGCUGAGCCGCGGUCCAGAGUCCUGCGGGAGGCAGCAGUAGGGAAUCUUCGGCAAUGGGCGAAAGCCUGACGGAGCAGCGCCGCGUGAGUGAUGGAGGUGUUCGGAUCGUAAUGCUCUGUUAUUAGGUAAGAACAAAUGUGUAAGUAACUGUGCACGUAUUGACGGUACCGAAUAAGAAAGCCACGGCUAACUACGUG
This 497-nucleotide ribosomal RNA is filed under the name uncultured bacterium. Its description in RNAcentral is "partial 16S ribosomal RNA". It matches the Rfam family "Bacterial small subunit ribosomal RNA", at positions 28 to 507 of the family's 1533-position model. The record is from RNAcentral.